RNAcentral lists this ribosomal RNA (301 nucleotides) under uncultured bacterium. Its description in RNAcentral is "partial 16S ribosomal RNA". It matches the Rfam family "Bacterial small subunit ribosomal RNA", at positions 509 to 807 of the family's 1533-position model. The record is from RNAcentral.
CAGUCGCCGCGGUAAUACGGAGGGUGCAAGCGUUAAUCGGAAUUACUGGGCGUAAAGCGCACGCAGGCGGUUUGUUAAGUCAGAUGUGAAAUCCCCGAGCUUAACUUGGGAACUGCAUUUGAAACUGGCAAGCUAGAGUCUUGUAGAGGGGGGUAGAAUUCCAGGUGUAGCGGUGAAAUGCGUAGAGAUCUGGAGGAAUACCGGUGGCGAAGGCGGCCCCCUGGACAAAGACUGACGCUCAGGUGCGAAAGCGUGGGGAGCAAACAGGAUUAGAUACCCCUGUAGUCCCUGUCUCUUAUAC